RNAcentral lists this transfer RNA (69 nucleotides) under Cervaphis quercus. RNAcentral's name for it is "tRNA-Pro". Lineage: Eukaryota; Metazoa; Arthropoda; Insecta; Hemiptera; Aphididae. The record is from RNAcentral.
CAGUAUAUAUUUUAAAUAAAAUAUUAAUUUUGGAAAUUAAUGAUAAUAUAAUUUUUAUAUUUAUACUGA